This 330-nucleotide ribosomal RNA is filed under the name uncultured Actinomycetes bacterium. RNAcentral describes it as "bacterial SSU rRNA". It matches the Rfam family "Bacterial small subunit ribosomal RNA", at positions 28 to 351 of the family's 1533-position model. Lineage: Bacteria; Bacillati; Actinomycetota; Actinomycetes. The record is from RNAcentral.
GACGAACGCUGGCGGCGUGCUUAACACAUGCAAGUCGAACGAGAUCCAUCGAGUGGCAACACUCGUGAAGAUCUAGUGGCGAACGGGUGCGUAACACGUGAGAAACCAACCCGAACUUCGGGAUAACAGGUGGAAACGCCUGCUAAUACCGGAUACCUCCGCCGAGUCGCAUGGCUUGGCGAAGAAAGGUCCGCCGGUUCGGGACGGUCUCGCGGCCUAUCAGCUUGUUGGUGGGGUAAUGGCCUACCAAGGCAUCGACGGGUAGCUGGUCUGAGAGGACGAUCAGCCACACUGGGACUGAGACACGGCCCAGACUCCUACGGGUGGCUG